This 393-nucleotide ribosomal RNA is filed under the name uncultured bacterium. RNAcentral's name for it is "partial 16S ribosomal RNA". It matches the Rfam family "Bacterial small subunit ribosomal RNA", at positions 523 to 918 of the family's 1533-position model. The record is from RNAcentral.
AUACGGAGGAUCCGAGCGUUAUCCGGAUUUAUUGGGUUUAAAGGGUGCGCAGGCGGGAGAUUAAGUCGGCGGUGAAAUUUUGCAGCUCAACUGUAAAAGUGCCUUCGAAACUGGUUUCCUUGAGUGUAGAUGAAGUAGGCGGAAUUUGUGGUGGAGCGGUGAAAUGCAUAGAUAUCACGAGGAACUCCGAUUGCGCAGGCAGCUUACUAAACUACUACUGACGCUCAGGCACGAAGGCGUGGGGAUCAAACAGGAUUAGAUACCCUGGUAGUCCACGCAGUAAACGAUGAUUACUAGCUGUUUGCGAUACAAUGUAAGCGGCUGAGCGAAAGCGUUAAGUAAUCCACCUGGGGAGUACGUUCGCAAGAAUGAAACUCAAAGGAAUUGACGGGG